RNAcentral lists this non-coding RNA (45 nucleotides) under Schistosoma mansoni. Lineage: Eukaryota; Metazoa; Platyhelminthes; Trematoda; Strigeidida; Schistosomatidae. The record is from RNAcentral.
AUUCAUCUGAUGAGUCCGGAAUAGGACGAAACGGAUGUGCUGUAU